GACGAACGCUGGCGGCGUGCUUAACACAUGCAAGUCGAACGGAAAGGCCCUGCUUUUGUGGGGUGCUCGAGUGGCGAACGGGUGAGUAACACGUGAGUAACCUGCCCUUGACUUUGGGAUAACUUCAGGAAACUGGGGCUAAUACCGGAUAGGAGCUCCUGCUGCAUGGUGGGGGUUGGAAAGUUUCGGCGGUUGGGGAUGGACUGGCGGCUUAUCAGCUUGUUGGUGGGGUAGUGGCUUACCAAGGCUUUGACGGGUAGCCGGCCUGAGAGGGUGACCGGCCACAUUGGGACUGAGAUACGGACCAGACUCCUACGGGAGGCAGCAGUGGGGAAUAUUGCACAAUGGGCGGAAGCCUGAUGCAGCAACGCCGCGUGCGGGAUGACGGCCUGCGGGUUGUAAACCGCUUUCGCCUGUGACGAAGCGUGAGUGACGGUAAUGGGUAAAGAAGCACCGGCUAACUACGUG
RNAcentral lists this ribosomal RNA (468 nucleotides) under uncultured bacterium. RNAcentral's name for it is "partial 16S ribosomal RNA". It matches the Rfam family "Bacterial small subunit ribosomal RNA", at positions 28 to 507 of the family's 1533-position model. The record is from RNAcentral.